Molecule: non-coding RNA, 30 nt
Filed under: Rattus norvegicus (Norway rat)
Lineage: Eukaryota; Metazoa; Chordata; Mammalia; Rodentia; Muridae
Source: RNAcentral
UAGCAGAGGAAACCCAGGUUGUGGCCAUGU